This 253-nucleotide ribosomal RNA is filed under the name uncultured bacterium. RNAcentral's name for it is "partial 16S ribosomal RNA". It matches the Rfam family "Bacterial small subunit ribosomal RNA", at positions 524 to 776 of the family's 1533-position model. The record is from RNAcentral.
UACGUAGGGUCCGAGCGUUGUCCGGAAUUAUUGGGCGUAAAGAGCUCGUAGGCGGUCUGUCGCGUCGGCUGUGAAAACUCAGGGCUCAACCCUGAGCCUGCAGUCGAUACGGGCAGACUAGAGUUCGGUAGGGGAGACUGGAAUUCCUGGUGUAGCGGUGAAAUGCGCAGAUAUCAGGAGGAACACCAAUUGCGAAGGCAGCUCGCUGGGACGUCACUGACGCUGAGACGCGAAAGCGUGGGGAGCAAACAGG